GAUGAACGCUAGCGAUAGGCUUAACACAUGCAGGUCGAGGGGCAGCAUGGUCUUAGCUUGCUAAGACUGAUGGCGACCGGCGCACGGGUGCGUAACGCGUAUGCAACUUGCCUCACAGAGGGGGAUAACCCGUCGAAAGACGGACUAAUACCGCGUACACUUGGGAUAGGGCAUCCUGACCCAAGGAAAUGAAAUUCGCUGUGAGAUAGGCAUGCGUCCCAUUAGCUAGUUGGUGAGGUAACGGCUCACCAAGGCGACGAUGGGUAGGGGAACUGAGAGGUUGAACCCCCACACUGGUACUGAGACACGGACCAGACUCCUACGGGAGGCAGCAGUGAGGAAUAUUGGUCAAUGGGCGAGAGCCUGAACCAGCCAAGUCGCGUGAAGGAUGACUGUCUUAUGGAUUGUAAACUUCUUUUAUACGGGAAUAACAAGAGCCACGUGUGGCUCCCUGCAUGUACCGUAUGAAUAAGCAUCGGCUAACUCCGUG
RNAcentral lists this ribosomal RNA (490 nucleotides) under uncultured bacterium. RNAcentral's name for it is "partial 16S ribosomal RNA". It matches the Rfam family "Bacterial small subunit ribosomal RNA", at positions 28 to 507 of the family's 1533-position model. The record is from RNAcentral.